AGUCGAACGGAAAGGCCUCUUCGGAGGUACUCGAGUGGCGAACGGGUGAGUAACACGUGGGUGAUCUGCCCUGCACUCUGGGAUAAGCCUGGGAAACUGGGUCUAAUACCGGAUAGGACCAUGCUUUAGUGUGUGUGGUGGAAAGUUUUUUCGGUGUAGGAUGAGCCCGCGGCCUAUCAGCUUGUUGGUGGGGUAAUGGCCUACCAAGGCGGCGACGGGUAGCCGGACUGAGAGGUUGGUCGGCCACAUUGGGACUGAGAUACGGCCCAGACUCCUACGGGAGGCAGCAGUGGGGAAUAUUGCACAAUGGGCGCAAGCCUGAUGCAGCGACGCCGCGUGGGGGAUGACGGCCUUCGGGUUGUAAACUCCUUUCGCAGGGACGAUAGCGUUUUGUGACGGUACCUGGAGAAGAAGCACCGGCUAACUACGUGCCAGCAGCCGCGGUAAUACGUAGGGUGCAAGCGUUGUCCGGAAUUACUGGGCGUAAAGAGCUCGUAGGUGGUUUGUCACGUCGUCUGUGAAAUUCCACAGCUUAACUGUGGGCGUGCAGGCGAUACGGGCUGACUUGAGUACUGUAGGGGUAACUGGAAUUCCUGGUGUAGCGGUGAAAUGCGCAGAUAUCAGGAGGACACCGAUGGCGAAGGCAGGUUACUGGGCAGUUACUGACGCUGAGGAGCG
This 678-nucleotide ribosomal RNA is filed under the name uncultured Actinomycetales bacterium. Its description in RNAcentral is "bacterial SSU rRNA". It matches the Rfam family "Bacterial small subunit ribosomal RNA", at positions 60 to 755 of the family's 1533-position model. Lineage: Bacteria; Bacillati; Actinomycetota; Actinomycetes; Actinomycetales. The record is from RNAcentral.